Loxodonta africana (African savanna elephant) is the source of this 2621-nucleotide long non-coding RNA. RefSeq lists it as uncharacterized. The transcript is spliced from 7 exons. The record is from RefSeq and is a predicted model, not a curated record. Lineage: Eukaryota; Metazoa; Chordata; Mammalia; Proboscidea; Elephantidae.
UCACUAUCUCCCACUUUCUUUGCCUUAAAGAGAAAGGGCCAUUCAUCGACUGUGAUGGUUAAGAUUGUGUGUCAUCUUGGCUGGGUCAUGAUUCUGAGUCUUGGCAGUUGUAUAAUGUUGUGAUCACAUCCCUGUUGAGGUCUGAUACGUGAUCACCCCCAUGAUGGGAUCUGCUGAGUGGUACCAGCGGGGGUGGGGCCUGUGGCGGCUCAUCACCCCUCAGCCUUCAUCACUCCGCCCUCUGCCGCCUAGUCCUUUCUGCUCUCUUUGCCGGGCUUAUGCUUGUUCUGGAUCCUGCAGCUGGCUCCUGUUAGUUUGACUUCCGGUUCUUGGUCUAGCAGCUUACCAGUGGUCUGACCUGCUGAUCUUGAGAUUCAUUGAUUUUCACAGCCUGCAACAGCACUGCUUUUCGGCCUGCCCUUCCUGGGUUCACCAUCCCUGGGGCUACGUGACUUCAGAGAAGUCUCUUCCCUGCUCCAUGGACUUGGGAUGUUACUGCCUCUAAAAACCGAGUUGGGGUGAUUACGAAGUCAUUGAAUUGAUCACUGUGAGAUUGCUGGAGUUCAGCAGAGAAGAAAAGCGGAAAACUGGCCACAUUUAACUUUUUAAUGGGUCACAUUUAUUAAGCUGUGAUUGGCUCAACCAGAGUCAAGCACAUAUAAGGCUCAUUCAUUCACUCACAAAAUAUUUAUUGCUCACCUACUAUGUGCAAAGGAAUUCCUGGGUGGCACAAAUGGUAAAGUGCUUGGAUUCUAAUGGAAAGGUUGGAGGUUCGAAUCUACCUAGACGUGCCUUAGAAGAAAGGCUUGGUGAUAUACUUCUGAAAGAUCACAGCCAUCAAAAACCUUAUGGAGCACAGCUCUACUCUGACAUGCAAAUGGCACUGGAGACCCAAAAUGCCACCGUGAUCCGCUGGUCAGUGCUGUGUCUACAGAAGGGUGACCCGCUCUGGCUAUCUGUUUGGUUGCCCUUGCGACCUGUACCUUGUACAACCAAGGAUGAUGAUGUAGACUCUAGCAGGCAGCAGAGGACAGGGAAGAGAAAGCUGGUGCCCAUUCUGCCAUUACUCCCCGUGUGUCUCUAGAAGUUUUCCUGCAUCUAACAGAAAACCAUCACCAUUGUGCUGAAGGAUGAUGAGGAGGCGAAGUCAAUUCUGAUUUGAGUUUACUUUGCAACAACUUAGAAAACUGCAAGAUGAAACACAGGGACUGCUUCUCUGAAACCACAUGGAAGCUUGUUGUUGUAUGUCGAAGAGUCGAUUUCAACUCACAGUGACCCUAUAUGACAAGAUAGAACUGCCCCAUAGGGUUUCCUAGGCUGUGAUCCUUACAGGAGCAGAUCGCCAGGUCUUUUCUCCUGCAGAGCUGCUGGGCCAGUAAGCAUUCUAACUCGCGUCAGCCAGCUCAGAUAGAAAAUGACAAAUUCUUUGGCGAAAGCCUACAGCCUCUGCAGGGAACUACUGGCCUCUGAGAAUUGACCUGGUCUGGCAUCUGACUCUGGUUGUCAAAAUGUCUUCAAAAUGGCUCCAUCAAAAUAGCAUAUACAUCUGAUUUCUAGAUGUUCAUAUGAACAGGACAGAUGACCCAGUGAACAAGGUGACACUACCUUGCUUGGUGAAAGUGAAGUGGACUUGAAGCACUUACCAAUGAAGGUCAAAGACCACAGUCUUCAGUAUGGAUUACAUCUCAUCAUAAAGAAAACAAAAAUCUUCACAACUGGACCAAUGAGCAACAUCAUGAUAAAUGGAGAAAAUAUUGCAGUUGUUAAGAAUUUCGUUUUACUUGAAGCCACAGUCAACAACCAUGGAAGCAGCAGUCAAGAAAUCAAAAGGCGUAUUGUAAAUCUGGGCAAAUUUACUGCAAAAGACCUCUUUAAAGUGUUAAAAGCACAGAUGUCACCUUGAAGACUAGGUGCGCCUGACCCAGGCCAUGGUGUUUUCAAUCACCUCUUAUGCGUGCUAAAGCUGGACAAUUAAUAAGGAAGAGUGAAGAAGAAUUGAUGCCUUUGAAUUAUGGUGUUAGAGGAGAAUAUUGAAUAUACCACAGACUGCCAAAAGAACAUACUUCUUCUUGGAGGUACAGCUAGAAUGCUCCUUAGAAACUAGGAUGGAGAGACUGCAUCUCACGUGCUUUGGUCAUGUUAUCAGGACGGAUCAGCUCCUGGAGAAGAACAUCAUGCUUGGUAAAGCAGAAAAAGAGGAAGAACCUUAAUGAGAUGGGUUGAUGCAGUGGCUACAACAAUGGGCUCAAGUGUAACGAUGGUGAAGAUGGCACAAGACUGGGCAGUGCUUUGUUCUGUUGAACAUAGUGUCACUAUGAGUUGGAAUCGACUUGACGGCACCUAACAACAACGUAAGUUUUUCUUUUUGGAACCCGAUUACCAGGCCUUUCUUCUGAGGUGGGUGGGUUCUAACCACCAAUUUUUAGGUUAGUAGACAAGUGUGAACCAUUUAUGCUAGUCAAAGACCCUAGGGAACUAGAGGUGUGCUCAUUUCUCCAAGAAUGUACUGUCAGUGAACAUAUGGGUAAGCAUUUGUACAUCUUCAUAAAUCCUUCUCUUCAAUUUUGUUUUUUUGGCAGUCAGCAAAUUCAACUUUUAAAAUAUGGGCCCUUAAAGGCUAA